GACGAACGCUGGCGGCGUGCCUAAUACAUGCAAGUCGAACGAGUGGCGGACGGGUGAGUAACACGUGGGAACCUACCCAUCAGAGGGGGAUAACACUUGGAAACAGGUGCUAAUACCGGAUAUCAAUAGAUGGAUCCGCGCUGCAUUAGCUAGUUGGUAAGGUAACGGCUUACCAAGGCAACGAUGCAUAGCCGACCUGAGAGGAUGAUCAGCCACACUGGGACUGAGACACGGCCCAGACUCCUACGGGAGGUAGCAGUGGGGAAUAUUGCACAAUGGGCGCAAGCCUGAUGCAGCCAUGCCGCGUGUAUGAAGAAGGCCUUAGGGUUGUAAAGUACUUUCAGCGGGGAGGCGUUACCCGCAGAAGAAGCACCGGCUAACUCCGUGCCAGCAGCCGCGGUAAUUC
RNAcentral lists this ribosomal RNA (406 nucleotides) under uncultured bacterium. RNAcentral's name for it is "partial 16S ribosomal RNA". It matches the Rfam family "Bacterial small subunit ribosomal RNA", at positions 28 to 526 of the family's 1533-position model. The record is from RNAcentral.